RNAcentral lists this ribosomal RNA (497 nucleotides) under uncultured bacterium. Its description in RNAcentral is "partial 16S ribosomal RNA". It matches the Rfam family "Bacterial small subunit ribosomal RNA", at positions 28 to 507 of the family's 1533-position model. The record is from RNAcentral.
GAUGAACGCUGGCGGCGUGCCUAAUACAUGCAAGUCGAGCGAACGGACGAGAAGCUUGCUUUUCUGAUGUUAGCGGCGGACGGGUGAGUAACACGUGGAUAACCUACCUAUAAGACUGGGAUAACUUUGGGAAACCGGAGCUAAUACCGGAUAAUAUUUUGAACCGCAUGGUUCAAAAGUGAAAGACGGUCUUGCUUUCACUUAUAGAUUGAUCCGCGCUGCAUUAGCUAGUUGGUAAGGUAACGGCUUACCAAGGCAACGAUGCAUAGCCGACCUGAGAGGGUGAUCGGCCACACUGGAACUGAGACACGGUCCAGACUCCUACGGGAGGCAGCAGUAGGGAAUCUUCCGCAAUGGGCGAAAGCCUGACGGAGCAACGCCGCGUGAGUGAUGAAGGUCUUCGGAUCGUAAAACUCUGUUAUUAGGGAAGAACAUAUGUGUAAGUAACUGUGCACAUCUUGACGGUACCUAAUCAGAAAGCCACGGCUAACUACGUG